GUGUCACUUUGGCAGCACAUAUACUAAAAUUGGAACCAUAUAGAGAAAAUUAACAUGGCCCCUGGACAAGGAUAACAUGCAAUUCCGUGAAGCAUUCUAUAUUUUU
Small nuclear RNA from Mesoplodon densirostris (Blainville's beaked whale), 106 nucleotides. Lineage: Eukaryota; Metazoa; Chordata; Mammalia; Artiodactyla; Ziphiidae. The record is from RefSeq and is a predicted model, not a curated record.